This 1004-nucleotide long non-coding RNA is filed under the name Musa acuminata (dwarf banana). RNAcentral describes it as "long non-coding RNA (MACU_LNC005989)". The record is from RNAcentral. Lineage: Eukaryota; Viridiplantae; Streptophyta; Magnoliopsida; Zingiberales; Musaceae.
CAUCAGCACAUAAUGAAACAUGUGGCUGCUUGUUCUUCCCGAUCUCAGCCGGAUCUAUAUCGAUGUGCACAAUCUUUGCCCUGCUAGCAAAAGCUUCAAGCUUUCCAGUCACACGAUCGUCGAACCUGACGCCAAGUGCGAGCAAGAGGUCAGCUUUAUCGACCGAAUAGUUGGCAUAGACAGUCCCGUGCAUUCCCAACAUCUUCAACGAUAGCUCCGCAUCGGUGGGAUAGACCCCGAGACCCAUCAGGGUACUCGCGAUGGGGAUGCCAGUAAGGUCCGCAAACCGGCGAAGCUCCUCGCUGGAGUUCAAGCAGCCGCCACCAACAUAGAGAACCGGGCGAUGGGAUUCGGACACAAGGCGGAUGAUUUGGUCAAGCAGACAGCGUGAAGGAGGCUUAGGGAGGCGGGAGAUGUAUCCGGGAAGGCGUAGCGGCGGGUCCCAAACAGGGAUGGCAAGCUGCUGCUGAAUGUCCUUGGGGAUGUCGACCAGCACCGGGCCAGGGCGGCCAGUGCUGGCGAGAAAGAAGGCUUCUUUAAUGAUGCGGGGAAUGUCAUCGACGUUAAGGACCAGGUAGUUGUGUUUGGUGAUGGAUCUGGUGACCUCGACAAUGGGGGUCUCCUGGAAGGCGUCCGUGCCGAUCAUGCGGCGGGGAACCUGGCCGGUGAUGGCGACGAGGGGGACGGAGUCGAGGAGCGCGUCCGCGAAGCCGGAGACGAGGUUGGUAGCGCCGGGGCCGGAGGUGGCUAUGCACACGCCCGGGCGGCCGGUGGAGCGGGCGUAGCCGGAGGCGGCGAAGAUCUCGCCCUGCUCGUGGCGGAGGAGGUGAUUGGUGAUGGAUGGGGAGCGGGUGAGGGCCUGGUGGAUCUCCAUGGAGGCGCCUCCAGGGUAGGCGAACAGAUCGGUGACGCCCUCCCGCUCGAGGGCCUCGACAAGGAUGUCAGAGCCCUUGCGGGGUUCGUCGGGGGCAAAGUUACGGAGGAGGGGGACAGCGGUGGUAGCG